AGGGUGACAGCCCCGUACACAAAAGCGCAUGUGCUGUGAGCUCGAUGAGUAGGGCGGGACACGUGGUAUCCUGUCUGAAUAUGGGGGGACCAUCCUCCAAGGCUAAAUACUCCUGACUGACCGAUAGUGAACCAGUACCGUGAGGGAAAGGCGAAAAGAACCCCGGCGAGGGGAGUGAAAAAGAACCUGAAACCGUGUACGUACAAGCAGUGGGAGCCCCACCACCAAAGCAUUCUCUGGUGUUGAAGGCCCUGCAAAGCAGCAUCGCGGUGGCGGAGCGUCGUUUGCGACGCCCAACACACAAAACAAGCGGUGAGUGCUUUGGGGUGGGGUGACUGCGUACCUUUUGUAUAAUGGGUCAGCGACUUAUAUUCUGUAGCAAGGUUAACCGAAUAGGGGAGCCGGAGGGAAACCGAGUCUUAAUUGGGCGUUAAGUUGCAGGGUAUAGACCCGAAACCCGGUGAUCUAGCCAUGGGCAGGUUGAAGGUUGGGUAACACUAACUGGAGGACCGAACCGACUAAUGUUGAAAAAUUAGCGGAUGACCUGUGGCUGGGGGUGAAAGGCCAAUCAAACCGGGAGAUAGCUGGUUCUCCCCGAAAGCUAUUUAGGUAGCGCCUCGUGAAUUCAUCUCCGGGGGUAGAGCACUGUUUCGGCUAGGGGGCCAUCCCGGCUUACCAACCCGAUGCAAACUGCGAAUACCGGAGAAUGUUAUCACGGGAGACACACGGCGGGUGCUAACGUCCGUCGUGAAGAGGGAAACAACCCAGACCGCCAGCUAAGGUCCCAAAGUCAUGGUUAAGUGGGAAACGAUGUGGGAAGGCCCAGACAGCCAGGAUGUUGGCUUAGAAGCAGCCAUCAUUUAAAGAAAGCGUAAUAGCUCACUGGUCGAGUCGGCCUGCGCGGAAGAUGUAACGGGGCUAAACCAU
RNAcentral lists this ribosomal RNA (927 nucleotides) under Salmonella enterica. Its description in RNAcentral is "partial 23S ribosomal RNA". It matches the Rfam family "Bacterial large subunit ribosomal RNA", at positions 361 to 1190 of the family's 2925-position model. The record is from RNAcentral. Lineage: Bacteria; Pseudomonadati; Pseudomonadota; Gammaproteobacteria; Enterobacterales; Enterobacteriaceae.